GAUGAACGCUGGCGGCGUGCUUAACACAUGCAAGUCGAACGGGAUCCCAGGAGCUUGCUCCUGGGUGAGAGUGGCGAACGGGUGAGUAAUGCGUGACCGACCUGCCCCAUACACCGGAAUAGCUCCUGGAAACGGGUGGUAAUGCCGGAUGCUCCGACAUGACGCAUGUCGUGUCGGGAAAGAUUCUAUCGGUAUGGGAUGGGGUCGCGUCCUAUCAGCUUGAUGGCGGGGUAACGGCCCACCAUGGCUUCGACGGGUAGCCGGCCUGAGAGGGCGACCGGCCACAUUGGGACUGAGAUACGGCCCAGACUCCUACGGGAGGCAGCAGUGGGGAAUAUUGCACAAUGGGCGCAAGCCUGAUGCAGCGACGCCGCGUGCGGGAUGACGGCCUUCGGGUUGUAAACCGCUUUUGACUGGGAGCAAGCCCUUCGGGGUGAGU
This 439-nucleotide ribosomal RNA is filed under the name uncultured bacterium. RNAcentral describes it as "bacterial SSU rRNA". It matches the Rfam family "Bacterial small subunit ribosomal RNA", at positions 28 to 474 of the family's 1533-position model. The record is from RNAcentral.